Molecule: long non-coding RNA, 449 nt
Organism: Homo sapiens (human)
Lineage: Eukaryota; Metazoa; Chordata; Mammalia; Primates; Hominidae
Source: Ensembl
UGCUUCAUUUAUAAAGUCUUCUUGCAUACGACUUAAUGAAGCCGAGAUACUGUUCAACAAUUGUGAGGUCUUACCUGGUUGGUCAUUUCCUUAACCAAGGAUCAAGGACAAAAGGCCAGACAGCUCUGUGGAAACAACACCAGGAUUUCAGUGAGGGGGUGUCAUCAGGAUAGAAGGCACACAGGAAGUUCCCCUUGACCAAGAAAAUAAGGCAACUCUUUAUUAUGAAGUUGUUCUGACACCCUUCUAUGGAUCAGUCCCUGGAACCUCCUUCGCACUCCCUACCAGGUGGUAUGGUCUUCUUUCUUCCUCUGAACCUAGGGACUCAACUAACAGCUAAUUCUAUCCCAUGGUUUCUUCACCUCAAGUGUGACUGCAGAGAGCGACCAGUCUCUGUCCUUUCCUGCUCUUUAGAGAGAAAAAAACCACAGCUCCUUUUAAUAUUAAAU